Molecule: long non-coding RNA, 343 nt
Filed under: Cryptosporidium parvum
Lineage: Eukaryota; Apicomplexa; Conoidasida; Eucoccidiorida; Cryptosporidiidae
Source: RNAcentral
CAAAAAUAUAAUUAGUUUGAAAAAAAAAAAAAUUUUAAUUUGUAGAUAUUCAGCCAUGUCAAAUAUACCCUUAAUAUUGUCAUUAUUAUUAUCAUUAUUAUUGCAUUCAUCAUCAAAUGGCAGACAAUCCUUACAAAAAAUGAGUAUUACACUAAUUAAAAUUUAGACUUGGUAAGAGGCCGAUGGCUGUAUGAAAACCUUACCACAACUUCCCUUCCCAUAGUUCCAAAUGGCAUCCAUCAAUAUGAAACAUAUACUGAUAUUCUGACAGCGCAUUUGUUAAUGAGUAAAUCAAAUGCAGCACAUAAAUGCAAUCCUAACUUGGCCAAAUCAUCAAUUGCUG